Phoenix dactylifera (date palm) is the source of this 3678-nucleotide non-coding RNA. The record is from RefSeq and is a predicted model, not a curated record. Lineage: Eukaryota; Viridiplantae; Streptophyta; Magnoliopsida; Arecales; Arecaceae.
UGUUAUCCGUCUCUCUCUCUUUCCCUCACCUAACGGCCGUCACCACCCUCCCCUCCCCCGAUCACACAUUUCGUCUCCAAAACCCCAUCAUUCCCAUCGUUCGAUCCCUCUCCCUCCACCAAUCGGCCUCCAAUUCGAUCAUCCUUGGAUCAAUCGAGACUUUGGAUCUCAAUUCUUGGCUUUCCCCAAUUCAAUUCCCUCUUUAUAUCGCUUAAAAAUCCACCACGGAUUCGUAACAAUCCAAUUGGGAUCAAAACCAUGCCAUUCUCCCAACCUUGCCGCGCCCCCGCCGCCGACGCCGGCGGCCGCCACGUCAAUUACCGCCGAUCCGCCUUCAACCGGCCCACGGCCGCCCCCGAAUACGAAGCCUCCGCCGCCCCCAACCUCAACCACUACUCUCACAGGGAUUUCUCCUAUAGAAACCACCAAGAUUACGCCUUUAGCGACGCCGCUGCGUACCCUGGCGCGCCGCCUCCUCUGAAGAGGAGGAGGUCCGACGUCUCUACGUGGGACGAGCACGCCGGGAACCGGUGCCGGAAUGGGGUCGCCGGUGGCAAUGGCCCGUCGACGAGUCAUGGUUCUUUUAUGCAGCCGAGGAGGCGUGAUGAUGGUGCUGUUCUGGCGCGCAGGCAGGAGGUGCCAGCGAAAGUGGAGGAGAGUGAGGCAUUCAUGUCUAGGGAUGAGAUCGAGAGGUGCUCGCCAUCAAGAAAGGAUGGAAUAAAUCCUGGUCUUGAAACGCACCUGCGGUACUCGUACUGCUCGUAUCUUCAGAGCCUUGGGAUGAGGCUAGAGCUGCCUCAGACUACAAUUGGAACUGCAAUGGUGCUCUGCCACCGCUUCUUUCUUCGUAGAUCUCAUGCUUGUCAUGAUAGAUUUUUGAUUGCUACGGCAGCUCUGUUCCUAGCUUCAAAGUCUGAGGACACACCAUGUCUUUUGAACAGUGUGCUACGGGCAUCCUGUGAAAUUUCUCAGAAACAGGAGUUUGCUUUCUUUCCAUAUUUGCCACACAGUCAGGACUGGUUUGAACAAUACCGUGAGAAAGUUAUUGAUGCUGAACAAAUGAUACUGACAACUCUGGAUUUCGAACUUGACGUGCAGCACCCUUAUGCUCCACUUUCAUCUGUUCUUAACAAACUAGGACUUUCACAAACUGUUCUUCUUGAUGUGGCCUGGAACUUGGUCAGUGAAGGGGUCUUUCUUCACGAGAAUUACGUGCUGACCUGUGUGAUAUUCUUAGCUGGAGGAUUCAUAUGCUGUUCAUGGAAAGCCUUUUUUUUAAUAUAUGUAGAAAUAUGUAUGUAUGUAUGUAUGUAUAAUAUAGUUACACAUCUGAAGUUAAGCAGCAGUGCAAUUUGGACAUGAUUGCAUGAAAAAUCUCAAACUAAUUCACCAGUUGGUUAUUAUUAAUCACUGAUAGACCUCCAAACCUAUUCCACUUGUAGUGCAGUUGAGUUCAUUCUUUCUUCUUAAUUCGAGUUAUCCAAUGCUUGAGGGCCAUUUCUUGUUGAGUUUCACUUUCUAGCUCACGAAAUUUCCCUUCCAUUUUUCUGCUUGAGUUUAAGUAAUCCUUUUUGCCUUGCACAUGCCAUAUUCCAAUUUUAUGUUCUUGUCCCAUAUUUCCUUUAUUUUUUUUUGCUAGACAUCUUUCCUAUUUUUUCUCCUUUAAUUUUUGCAAAUGUUUGAUCAUCUCUGCAAAUUAAGUUUUUAUAUUUAGCUUAUUUGGUAGUUCCGUGUAUUACCAUGCAAAGCCAACCAAUGACUUUGCCCCCUCUUUUCAGAGUCUGGGCGGAAUUCUUACAUGAAUGGCAAAAUAUCAAAAUGACUUUUUCUCUUGAUUAUGCUUCCUUUUAGUCACGUAAUCAAGAACAAAGUUUCUCUUUAUUUGCCCUUGUGCAUGCAGGCUAUGGAUGAAAAUGUUUGGGCAAAAAAAUCUCUAUCAUAAGACGAAUAUAUUAACUAAACUCAAAGAGAAGUGAAAGAUAAACACCAAGAAGCAUCUAUCAUGAAUUAUUUGAAUAUGUGAUUCCAGAUUGAGUACUGCUACCUUCUUGACCUCCCAAUGUUAUAAUAAAAAUGUAGCUGAAUAAAUUUAAUCUUUUGAUCCAAUUAAGAGGAUUCUUGUAGGUGACAAGUUGCUGGCUGUCCUACUGAUAAAACAUUUUUUUUUUUUUUGAAAGAAUUUUUUCUAAAUUUGUAACUUGCAUGUGUAUACAACACAGCGAAAGAUGUGUACUAUGUUACACGAAAAACUCUUGCAACAAAACAUAUUAUGUUAUUAAAUUGUAAAAGAUAUUAUGUCACCAUGUUGUUUCUGUUUAAUCAAAAGAUUUCAUUGGUCAAUCUGUAUAGCAUGUAUCUCCGGCUGGUAUAUAAAAUAUGAACUUGUGGGCAAGUUAUAAAUCACUCAGUCUUCUAUUGAUCAUAUGGUGCUUUUUGUAUCAUUUGAAAUUGCACCUUGCCUCAACCGAUUAGUUGAAGCCUACAUGCUUGCCUCCAAUUUCCUGUACACAACAAAGGAAUGGAAACGUACGUCUCUUUAUCAUUUUCACAAAGCACGUGGUACCCUUUCACAUCUCAACCUACACAUCAUCUUUGAACAUGUAUUAGCAAUUCAGAAAAGUACAUACAUUGUCAGUCUUGGCAUGGUGCAGGAAAUCUUAUUAGUCAUUUAUGAGAUAGCAUUGAUAAGAAGCAGCUAGAAGCAUCCAUGGGAGAAGCUUUUAUUCUCUCUUCUGUGUCACAAAUCUCUCCUUCAUUUUCUGAUUGAAUAAUGUUUUUGGAUUUUGGGAAAGGCAAAUGCCCCUUGAGCAUUCUUGGGUCCAGGACUUGAUGCAUAGUUCCCAAAGGCACAUAAUGCUGCUAUAGCUUAGCACUAUGACAGCAUUUCUUCUACAGAAGAUUCUCAGAUAAUAUAUCACCUGGAUGGCUGCUUUGUAGUUGGUAAGAAGACAUUGACAUAAUAGCUUGUUUAGCUUGCUAUAUGAAAUCCCUCUGCUGUUCUGCUCUUUUAAUCUUUGUUACAUGUGAACUAAUGUGGUUUGUGUUGAUGUGGAAAUGACUCGACUUUCACUUAGCAAAGAAAAGACUUUAAGCUUUUUACACAUAGCAUUGUUUCGGAAGGAUGGUUUGCCUAUUAGUUUAUUAUCCUCAAUUUUUUAUUGAUGCUUGCCUUUAAAAUCUGAUAUCUCUCUUUCAAUGUAUUUAUAUUAUUGCAGACUUCGGAGUUCACUUUGGCUUCAAUUUAAGCCCCAUCAUAUUGCUGCCGGGGCUGCAUUCCUUGCUGCCAAAUUUAUAAAUUAUGAUCUUGCUUUUCAUCAGAGUUUCUGGCGUGAAUUCCAGACAACACCAUCUAUUCUUCAAGAUGUUGCACAACAGUUGAUGGAACUCUUCUAAAAUGACACAUCAGUAUACUUACAUCAUGUACUAAAGGUUUGUUGUACACCGUGUUUAUAUUGGAUAAAACAAUUUACAUACGAGGAUAUCAGGGUUUUAUCAGGUGAAUGAGUCAGCUAAAUGUCUUUAUAAUGGUUGCAAUAAUUUUUAAUUAUUGGCAGCAUUUCUAUUCUUAAGCUACUUCCGGUACUAAUUGGCCUGUCAGCCACCUUCAACAUAUUUGUUGAAGAUUUAUAAUUUUACUAAAAAUUGAUCUAUGAUUGUCGCAUAGCGACUUCUUGGUUC